Molecule: ribosomal RNA, 448 nt
Filed under: Metopograpsus quadridentatus
Lineage: Eukaryota; Metazoa; Arthropoda; Malacostraca; Decapoda; Grapsidae
Description: partial 12S small subunit ribosomal RNA
Source: RNAcentral
AAAGGUGAAAUUGGAUUAUUAUUAAAUAAAUGAAAUUGAAGCUGAAGCUAAGAAAGUUUAAUUAUAGACUAGGAUUAGAUACCCUAUUAUUUUAAACUAUAAAUGAAAAAUGAAACUCUAGAUAAGUAGUAGAUAGGUACUUAAAAAUUAAAAAAUUUGGCGGUGAUUUAAUCUUUUCAGAGGAACUUGUUUUAUAAUCGAUAAACCACGUUUAAUCUUACUUAAGUAUGUAUACCAUCAUUAUCAGGUGAUUUUUAAAGAAAAAAUUACUAAAAAUAAUUAGUUAAAUAAAUUAGAUCAUGGUGCAGCUUAUAAAUAAGGUAAAAUGAGUUACAAUAAAGCUUUUUAAAUGAAUUAGUAACUAUGAAGGUGGAUUUGAUUGUAAGUGUGGAUUAAUAAGCUUAUUUGAUAUUGGUGCUAAAUCAUGUACAUAUCGCCCGUCGCUUUC